AUUGAACGCUGGCGGCAGGCCUAAUACAUGCAAGUCGAACGAGUGGCGGACGGGUGAGUAAUGUCUGGGAAACUGCCUGAUGGAGGGGGCUAACUACUGGAAACGGUAGAUAAUACUGCAUAACACCCUUUGUGCCCAGGUGGGAGUAGCUAGUUGGUGGGGUAACGGCUCUCCAAGGCGACGCUCCCUAGCUGGUCUGAGAGGAUGACCAGCCACACUGGGACUGAGACACGUCCCAGACUCCUACGGGAGGCAGCAGUGGGGAAUAUUGCACAAUGGGCGCAAGCCUGAUGCAGCCAUGCCGCGUGUAUGAAGAAGGCCUUCGGGUUGUAAAGUACUUUCAGCGGGGAGGCGUUACCCGAAGAAGAAGCACCGGCUAACUCCGUGCCAGCAGCCGCGGUAAUAC
RNAcentral lists this ribosomal RNA (406 nucleotides) under uncultured bacterium. RNAcentral describes it as "partial 16S ribosomal RNA". It matches the Rfam family "Bacterial small subunit ribosomal RNA", at positions 30 to 526 of the family's 1533-position model. The record is from RNAcentral.